RNAcentral lists this ribosomal RNA (468 nucleotides) under uncultured bacterium. RNAcentral describes it as "partial 16S ribosomal RNA". It matches the Rfam family "Bacterial small subunit ribosomal RNA", at positions 28 to 507 of the family's 1533-position model. The record is from RNAcentral.
GACGAACGCUGGCGGCGUGCUUAACACAUGCAAGUCGAACGGCAGCGCCCUGCUUUUGUGGGGUGCUCGAGUGGCGAACGCGUGAGUAACACGUGUGUAACCUGCCCUUGACUUUGGGAUAACUUCAGGAAACUGGGGCUACUACCGGACAGGAGCUCCUGCUGCAGGGUGGGCGUUGGAAAGUUUCGGCGGUUGGGGAUGGACUCGCGGGUUAACAGCUUGUUGGUGGGGUAGUGGCUUACCCAGCCAUGCACGGGUCGGCGGCCGGAGAGGGUGGCCGGCGUCAUUGCGCCUGCGGGAGGGCCCAGUGUCCAAUGUUGGGCAGUGGUCGGGAGUCUUACACAGUGGGCGGGAGUCUGAUGCGGCAGCGCCGCGUUCGUGAUGACGGCCUGCGGGGUGAAAACCGCUGUCGCCUGAGACGAAGCGUGUGUGACGGUAAUGGGUAAAGAAGCACCGGCUAACUACGUG